CACGUAGGGCGCAAGCGUUGUCCGGAAUUAUUGGGCGUAAAGAGCUCGUAGGCGGUCUGUUGCGUCCGCUGUGAAAACUCGGGGCUUAACCCCGAGCCUGCAGUGGAUACGGGCAGACUAGAGGUAGGUAGGGGAGAAUGGAAUUCCCGGUGUAGCGGUGAAAUGCGCAGAUAACGGGAGGAACACCGGUGGCGAAGGCGGUUCUCUGGGCCUUACCUGACGCUGAGGAGCGAAAGCGUGGGGAGCGAACAGG
This 253-nucleotide ribosomal RNA is filed under the name uncultured bacterium. RNAcentral's name for it is "partial 16S ribosomal RNA". It matches the Rfam family "Bacterial small subunit ribosomal RNA", at positions 524 to 776 of the family's 1533-position model. The record is from RNAcentral.